Molecule: long non-coding RNA, 3326 nt
Organism: Pogoniulus pusillus (Red-fronted tinkerbird)
Lineage: Eukaryota; Metazoa; Chordata; Aves; Piciformes; Lybiidae
Exons: 3
Source: RefSeq, a predicted model, not a curated record
GGGCGCAGAGCUGGAGUGCGGAGCUGGCUCAGCCAGGCUGUGGAGAGGGAAAUUCCCAGUAAUCUGCAUCAGCUAAACCUGCCCCAAGAACUUGCUGCAACACUUCCAAGCUUUUCCAGCUCCAAGAGAGCCCACAGCAGCUUUCCCAGCCCUAAGUGCUUAGUUCCUGGUGGUGAUCAAAGAGGGUCUUGCAGGAGCGUUUUGGCGUCAGUGGAUUUCACUCUCAGCCAGACCAACUCUGCCCUUCUGUAAGUUCAGUUUCAGGUCCCUGUGACCUCUGCCUUGGGGCUGCCCUGGACCAGAGGGUGCAGACCAAUAGCAAUUUGCAGUCAGCCAGGGCAGUAACCUGAGCUGGCUCCAGGUGAAUCCCAUCCCAUAAACAUCACCCUCAGCAUAAAGGGGGAGCUCCAGGAUAGGAGCUCCUCCUGCUUGGGCUCUUCCUAACCCUGCUCCUCUUGCCUCUCCUGAGAAAGUUUCCCUGUUCAGUGUGUCUGCGUGAGGAUAACUUCGUUCUGGGCUCUGAUGUGCACUCGUCUGGAGCACUCCUGUGCCCUCCUGUUCUGCCCUUCCUCGUGUCAGGAUAAUGUAGCAACAAGUAAAGGCUUGGAGGAGGAUGCUGAAGGCACCCACCCGUGCCAGGAGCAGUGCUUGGGAUGGACUCUGCAGCCUCGGGAGGGACGUCAGAGGUGUCAAGCACUGUGAAGCGGUGCCUCGGUGGGAGCAGGAGGAGCCUGCCCACAGGGCUGACAGGUGGAGCCUCAGCAGUGUGUGCCUUUGGGCUGUGAGGAUGGGCAUUGUCCCUGGGAAGGGGGGACAGGGCACUCUGAGUGCCUUUGGGAUGUCAGAAGCAGGAACAGGCAGGGUCACUGGCACUGAUGUGGACAAAUGUGGCUGGCUCCUAGUGCUGGACUGCAGAAUGCAAUUCGGGGUCACUAAGCACAACUGUAUCUUUGGAGAAUCUGAUUAAGUGCUGCUUGCUGAAGGUCAGGCAGAAGGAGUGAUUACCAGAACCAUUUCUCAGUGGCUUUCCCCAGCAGCUGCCAUUUCGGAGGGGACAGCUCCUGUGCAGAUGUGAGUUUGUCUCAUCAGGAAACUGCAUUAGGAGAACAAACAGGAAAAUGCUGAGAUCUGACAACUCACCUGGUAAACCUUCUGCUGCAAUGCUUCUGCAGGUCCUGAGGAGCUGAGAGCAUCUCCUGGCCUGGGGACCCAGCCCUAGGGCACGACAAGAGAGCUCCUGCAGCCACUCUUUGCUCUUCCAGGGGAUGCUGCUUGCAGACUCUUUGGCUGCUUUCUAAGGAGCCUCUCAGGGCAGAGGCUUUGGCUGAGCUGCAGAACACUGAAGGAGUGAGGCACAGCCUGGUGGGGCUUGGUUACUGCCACGGGAAGCCUGGGCCGAGCCAGGUGGUGCAAAGUGGAGGUACUGAGUGCUCUUGAGAAGAGCAAACAGGGCAAGGACUGGCAGCACCUGAGGCUAAUCACAGUUGCUUUGGAGAGCGUUCAGACACGAGGUCCUCCCCAGGGGUAACGCUGAAGGGCACAAAGGGCAGUGCUGGGUGGGUCAGUUAGAGCUGCUGCUUGAUCUCCAGAUCGCUGUCGAAGGUUGCCUCUCCCAGGGUGUGUGACAGCAAUAUCGAUCUGCUGUUCAGCAGGCUGGGAGUGUUCUGGGGAGCAGCUUUGGCAGGUGAACUGCAAAGCUGGGAUCAAUACUGGAAGCUACAGCUCAGUUUAUAGCAAUUUGUUAUUAUUUCCCUCAGCUGGCUCUGCUGCAGCCAGGGAAAUCACCUCCAGCUCUGCUGUGGCAGGUGGCAGCGGGGAGGAGUGUUUGUGGCAGGCAAAACUGAAGGGUGCUAUGGCUUGGUGGGCUGCAGGGAGAAACAGCUGCAACUGAAAUGGGAGCUCAGCUCAGCAGCAUCAGAACAAGCAGAGGUUACUCAGGACACCUUCACCCGGUAACAUUUCCCAGCAGAGACAAAUGUUCAGGGCAGGACCUGAACCUGCUGUGGUCUGCCUGAGUGGAGAAGGAUUUGCAGAGCUUCAUUUCAGGCACUGCUUGUUUAAAAGAUUUAUGAAAGCUCUUCACACCUCAGCAAACUCUCCAGGCUGUGGCUUUCAGUCACUUCCUCCUUGACAAGUGGCAGAAGGGGAAAGUGCAGUGCAGGUAUUGGGCAUUUACUCUUCGUUUCCUUAUUUCUGCAACCAGAGCAAGGGCUGUUGGCUUUGUUAAGGUCUGGAAGGGAAAAAGCCCUGGCAGUGCCACGGGGGCAGCAGAGGGGUGUGAGGUGUCUGUGGAAGCAUCUGGAGAGGCAGUGCUAAGAGCUCACAGCUCUGCUGACACCUGGGUUAUGGCACAGUUCUCCUUUGCUGCUACCUUGGUCUCCUCCCUUUCAGCAGCCCUUAGCUCUGCCCAGACACGAUGUCAGCACUGAACACAUGGGCUCUGGCAGCACAGCUGCAGGGUGGGAAACGAAGGCUAAACAUCUGCCCAGCAGGGUGAAGGUCCUCCUGUCCCCACCUCUUCCACAGCACUCUCCCCAGUUCCAAAGGCUGGGAAGGAUCCAGCCAAGGUCUGCCAACACUUUCAAGGCACCAAAGGCAGGUGCAGCCAGGCAGAGGCACCCAGUCUGCACCUCACCCAGAAUCACUGCAGAGUCACAGGGCUCUGACCAAAACCCAGAGCCAGCUGGAUCCUCUCUGUUCCCACUUCUUGUUUCUAUGCUAAAGAAAGGAAUUCCCCAUCUACAGAACUCUGAACAGUGGAAUCUGUCACAGCCACAUCUAAGGGGGCUUAAAAAGUCUUCUUUCCCCCCAGCUAUUCUCUUGAUUUAUGGGCUCAUAGCAAUCACACCAUGGGGCUGCUCUUUGGGGGCUGUGACUCUGGGUAAACACCCACCCUCUGCUGCUGCUGCCUGGGCAGGGCUGUGCUACAGGGCACUUUCAAGUGAGAUCUAGGGAAAAUGGAGCAACAAAGAGUUCCUUCUGCUGGGCCUUUGGACUGAAGAGGUUGUUACACACACAUCUAUCAAACAGUAGUCAGGGCAGUGCCGGAGCUGCAGUCAGACCAGGAUCAGACAGCUCCCCUCGGCUCAGCUCUGGGUAAGAAGUGAUACCUGUGUCACAGAUCUGCAGUCAGGAUCUGGCCAAGACAAACAGGCACACUGUGGGGCUGCUGGGGAGGGAGAAGCAGCUGGGCAGAGGCUUGCUGGCUGCUGUUUGAGGUGUGAGAGAGGAAGGAGCUGAGAGCAUGAGAUGGGAAAGAAAGAAAAUCCCCAAAGCACAGCAGGCAUUUGGGAGAUGCUCAGAGAGUGAGCGUAGAGAGGUGGCUG